CUCAUAUAACCUUGUUCCUUACGGAGGUGUAGAAAAUCUGUAGCAUGAUGUAAUGGAAUUAAGAAUGGGUCAAUGAAAUAUACAGCUCCUUUCUGGAAUGUACCUGUUCUGCUACAACCAUGGAUAUCCUGACGUUUCUGUGUCUUUCAGGGACAAGGGUAAUAGAGGAGUUUCAGACUCCCUCUAAAACAAAACAACAACUGAACAAUAAACAACAGAAAAAGAACACAAAAAAAGACGGCGGUACUCUUUCC
RNAcentral lists this long non-coding RNA (254 nucleotides) under Pan troglodytes (chimpanzee). Its description in RNAcentral is "long non-coding RNA NONPTRT004879". The record is from RNAcentral. Lineage: Eukaryota; Metazoa; Chordata; Mammalia; Primates; Hominidae.